Molecule: ribosomal RNA, 534 nt
Filed under: soil fungal sp. DM2-076
Lineage: Eukaryota; Fungi
Description: eukaryotic LSU rRNA
Rfam family: Eukaryotic large subunit ribosomal RNA
Source: RNAcentral
GGCAACAGCUCAAAUUUGAAAUCUGGCCCCUAGGGUCCGAGUUGUAAUUUGUAGAGGAUGCUUUUGGUGAGGUGCCGCCCGAGUUCCCUGGAACGGGACGCCGCAGAGGGUGAGAGCCCCGUCUGGCUGGCCACCGAGCCUCUGUAAAGCUCCUUCGACGAGUCGAGUAGUUUGGGAAUGCUGCUCAAAAUGGGAGGUAUAUGUCUUCUAAAGCUAAAUAUUGGCCAGAGACCGAUAGCGCACAAGUAGAGUGAUCGAAAGAUGAAAAGCACCUUGAAAAGAGGGUUAAACAGUACGUGAAAUUGUUGAAAGGGAAGCGCUUGUGACCAGACUUGGGCGCGGCGAAUCAUCCGGGGUUCUCUCCGGUGCACUUCGCCGUGUUCAGGCCAGCAUCAGUUCGGCGCGGGGGAAAAAGGCUUCGGGAACGUGGCUGCUCCGGCAGUGUUAUAGCCCGUUGCAUAAUACCCUGCGCUGGACUGAGGACCGCGCAUCUGCAAGGAUGCUGGCGUAAUGGUCACCAGCGACCCGUCUUGA